This 253-nucleotide ribosomal RNA is filed under the name uncultured bacterium. RNAcentral describes it as "partial 16S ribosomal RNA". It matches the Rfam family "Bacterial small subunit ribosomal RNA", at positions 524 to 776 of the family's 1533-position model. The record is from RNAcentral.
UACGUAGGGCGCAAGCGUUGUCCGGAAUUAUUGGGCGUAAAGAGCUCGUAGGCGGCCUGUUGCGUCCGGUGUGAAAUCCCGGGGCUUAACCCCGGGCGUGCAGUGGAUACGGGCAGGCUGGAGGCAGGCAGGGGAGAACGGAAUUCCCGGUGUAGCGGUGAAAUGCGCAGAUAUCGGGAGGAACACCGGUGGCGAAGGCGGUUCUCUGGAACGCAACUGACGCUGAGACGCGAAAGCGUGGGGAGCAAACAGG